CGCCUGCCGGGGAGGGGCAGCGCGGACGGGCGAGCGCCGCGUGCGGGAGAGCGAAGGCUGCAGCGCGCCCGGCAGCCGGGAUGCAGCGGCGCCGCCCAAGCCUGGGGCGCAGGGGUCGGGGCACACGGGGAUAGGCCCGACGCGGGGCCGAAGGAAGGGUGGUCUUUCCCGCAGAGUUGCCGCUGGAGGACCGAAAGUUUUGCAGGCAGCCCUUGCUUCCAGCUUGUCGCUCUCUCCCCGCGUCCCUGUCGCCCAACGCGAGGCGCCCCCGCUGGGGUCCCGACGGCUUGGUGGGGAGGAGCCGUGAGGGGUUGCGCCCCCCACCCCCACCCGAGCCAGGGAAGGGACCCUGGUGACCUCGCCUCCCAGCCCUCACCCCCGUCACCCCUUUCUUCUCUUUCCUGGAGGACUUUGGACCAUGGAGAUUCUGCAGUUGUUGCUCUAGGAGCUGAAACCAGUGGGUAGAUGUCGUUCUGAAACGCAGUUCUUCUUUUUGUAAAGGUGUGUCCUGAGGAACCUCAGAUUUGAAAGAAGAGUGAAUGGAAGUCAAAUGUGGAAACCACUCAAAUGUCCAUCAACUGAUGAAUGAAUAAACAAAUCAUGGUAUAUCCAUACAAGGAAUAUUAUUCACCCAUAAAAAGGAAUGAAGUCUUAAUACACCUACAACUGGAUGAACAUUGAAAACAUUAUGCUAUCCAUUCUGCUUCAGACCGGAAAGGAGAAACAGUCUAAACUGCAUGAAAGUCCUGGUACUGCUGUAUCUCGUACUAUAAGUUCAGUUUUCUCCCUUCACCUGAGGGUAAGUUGAAGAAUAACUUCAUAAGCCAGGGAGAGAUACGUUUGGAUCAGGAGUUAGUGAUAACAGAUUGUGAGAUCCAUGAGAGCCCAGAAAAUAUCUUAGGAUCCCUAGUGCUUAGCACAGAGCUUGGCAUAUGGAGGUGCUGUGUGAAACAGGCUAGAGGCACAUUUCCUCUGCUUGACAGUUCUAUCCUAAGCUUAACUACUCUUUGAAUGUGAAGGGGAAAGUAUUCCCAUAUCCCCAGCUCUUUGAGCAGAUGAUUAGCACUCUGGCUAAGUUGGCUAAAGUGCAAUUUUGGAAAGAGAAGUUCCCAUUGGAUCCUACCUCACACCUUAAGGAACUGAUAUGGAAGGAAGUACUGGGA
Molecule: long non-coding RNA, 1163 nt
Filed under: Homo sapiens (human)
Lineage: Eukaryota; Metazoa; Chordata; Mammalia; Primates; Hominidae
Description: HSALNT0342497
Source: RNAcentral